RNAcentral lists this ribosomal RNA (497 nucleotides) under uncultured bacterium. RNAcentral describes it as "partial 16S ribosomal RNA". It matches the Rfam family "Bacterial small subunit ribosomal RNA", at positions 28 to 507 of the family's 1533-position model. The record is from RNAcentral.
GAUGAACGCUGGCGGCGUGCCUAAUACAUGCAAGUCGAGCGAACGGACGAGAAGCUUGCUUCUCUGAUGUUAGCGGCGGACGGGUGAGUAACACGUGGAUAACCUACCUAUAAGACUGGGAUAACUUCGGGAAACCGUAGCUAAUACCGGAUAAUAUUUUGAACCGCAUGGUUCAAAAGUGAAAGACGGUCUUGCUGUCACUUAUAGAUGGAUCCGCGCUGCAUUAGCUAGUUGGUAAGGUAACGGCUUACCAAGGCAACGAUGCAUAGCCGACCUGAGAGGGUGAUCGGCCACACUGGAACUGAGAUACGGUCCAGACUCCUACGGGAGGCAGCAGUAGGGAAUCUUCCGCAAUGGGCGAAAGCCUGACGGAGCAACGCCGCGUGAGUGAUGAAGGUCUUCGGAUCGUAAAACUCUGUUAUUAGGGAAGAACAUAUGUGUAAGUAACUGUGCACAUCUUGACGGUACCUAAUCAGAAAGCCACGGCUAACUACGUG